This is a long non-coding RNA of Melospiza melodia melodia, 2263 nucleotides long. RefSeq lists it as uncharacterized. Lineage: Eukaryota; Metazoa; Chordata; Aves; Passeriformes; Passerellidae. The transcript has 12 exons. The record is from RefSeq and is a predicted model, not a curated record.
UGGGGAGUUUACACCAGACACCAUGUGGGCUUAGCCUGUGUCUCCUUCUCUUCCCCAUGGCCUAAUCCAAAUCCCAGUGAAAAGCUCGCUAACAGCGACAGCCAUGAAAAUGAAUGAUUUGGCUUCACCCAAAAUGAUGGAUAAUCCUGCUGGAAGAGCAUGACAAUGAUAGACAGACAUCUUCUGAAGGAGAAGAUCACUCCAAGAUAUGAUUUGUUGAAAAUGUAUGCAUGCUUUUCAGAAGACAUGGGAGAAGCCCAGGAGAAUCUUACAUGGAUUGUUCGUGCUGCCCAGGAUUUCCCUCACAGAGAAUUGGUGGCGUCACCCUUUAACAGUUUUGUUCCCUGAAAUCCCUCUUUUGAAAAUUAACAAAGGCAAAUAACUUCAGUCUCCUCCUUCCUGUAGAGGAGGGAAACUGGAAAAGCAGUUGCAGGUCCUUGAUGCACAGAUAACUCCACCAUAUCCCCUGUUAGAUGUUAAAUGCUGCAAAUCCCAUCUGAGAUGCAAUGAGACAAGAAGUCGCUGCCCACCAGUGCUCCUGGGGUGUGCCACACAUGGAAGUGCCUUGAAGUUUUCACAGGACAUGAAUAUGGGGCAGGGGGAUGAUCACUGCAUGCCAAGUCACCAAAUGCCAAAUUAAGAAGGACCAUCUGGAGGAAGAAAUUUUCCUGUGUUCCUCUGUUAGUCUUGAGAAGUUGCAUCUUGCUGGACACUGCACUGAAAACCGUCCAGAAGCAUAUGAGACCAGAACCUGACCACUCCAUAAUUCAUAAAAUACAGUGUGAGGUAAAUAAAUGGCAUACACAUCUGGGAAGAGGCACUGGAAGUUUUCACUCCUUGCUCACCUCUCUCUCUUGCCACUGGGCUGAUCCACAGAGCUGGGCCAUCCAGGUUUGCCAUCCUGCCUGGAUCCAGCAGCUGCAGAGCCACAAAGUUGGGAUGGAUGUCCACUUUUAAUAGGAAGGAAAAAAACAAAGCAGGAAGGAGGAUUGUCACAGGUUUUUAGUCUCAAAUGCUUUUUAAACUGAUCAAGCUAUUUGGAAUGACUUGAAGUGAUCUGACUGAACAAAUUUCCCAGAAUCAGAGUCCUCAGACUGACAUUCUGGACCUAACCCCAUUUGCUGGCUCUUUCCAGAGGCAGGACUUUGGUACAAAUGGCACAGACAGGGCCCUCUCUCCCAUCAGCAAUGGAUUUGUGGCACUGAGAUGUCCAUGGGCAGCUGCUGGAUCACAACCUGAGGAUUCCUGCUGAGCUUCUUUUGUGGAAGAGCUGGCACAGACAGGAAGAAAAGCUGCUUUUAAGGAACAACUUGUCAUGGCACAAGGCUUCAUAAAGUUGACAGUGGCUCUCUAGGCAGCUACUGCUUUUGGUGGAAGAUCUCCAAACUGCUUAAGGUAUGUUUGAAAUAUUAAAAUAGAAAUGGUUGCUUUGUUUUCUGGCUGGCUCCAGCUUGAGCAUUAGGUCACAUCAAAGUCAAAGUGCAUUUUUAAUGAUCAGUGCUAGCUGGGGUGCUGAGCCUUGAGGAAUGGUGUGGGAAAGGGGAGAUCAGGACUAAAUUGGCUUCUCUUUAGGAUGCUGGAAAGAGAAAGUCAAGCAGGAAUGACCAGGGAGUGGCAAUGAUAAUGUUCCAUGGUUACUUUUCAGUGUAUCUCCAUCAGAAACAAAAACAAAAUUACUUCAUUGACACUAAACAGAUAAUCCAGCAUCCACGCCUGGAUUAUUAUAAAAAAUAGUAAUAAGAAAUAUAAUAAUAAAAAUAUAUGUGUGUAAAAAUGAAUAUUAUUCACAAUGUCUAGUUGGACUUCAGAUCAUUGUUGUAUUGUAUCCAAGUUUGAAGGUAAUGUCCUUAAUUGACCAUGAUUUCUUUCGUCCAACAGCUUGGCAAAUGACACAAUGGCAAGUCUUGGAUAAUUAAAUAAAUAUAUAUAAUUUAAUUCCCAGUAUUUCUCCAUUCCACUGUUCCAAAUAACCUUUAAAAACCACAUUUUCAAGGGAAUUAUAACUUUCUUUGUGUUAUGAGUAAUGCAAUAUUAAGCAUAUACCUCAGCUUUAUCUUUGAUGUGAGUGAUCAAAUACUCAUUGCCUUGAUUAUUCAAAUAAUUAGAUAUUUUAUAAUUUUCUUGAAAAGCUCAGAAGUAAAGUGCCAAACCCCUUGAAGGGCUGUUCAAUAUUUAGUUUACUGUCAGCAGAAGAAUCAUUGGGCAGGAGGAUACUGCAACAGGGGAAAAAAAGUAUUUGUUGCAGGAAGUCUCAGAUUUUCAA